CAAUAGCGUAUAUUAAAGUUGUUGCAGUUAAAAAGCUCGUAGUUGGAUUUCUGGAUGGGUGCCAAUGUCCGCCAAUGUGCGUGCGCAGCAGCGCCCAUCCAUCCUUCUGUUAACGUCUCUUGGCAUUCAUUUGCUGGUGGCGGGCUCAGAUAUUUUACCUUGAGAAAAUUAGAGUGUUUCAGGCAGGCCAAGCCGGAAUACAUUAGCAUGGAAUAAUGGAAUAGGACUAUGGUCUCUUUGUUGGUUUGAGGGACUGCAGUAAUGAUUAAUAGGGAUAGUUGGGGGCAUUAGUAUUUAAUUGUCAGAGGUGGAAUUCUCAGAUUUGUUAAAGACUAACUUAUGCGAAAGCAUUUGCCAAGGAUGUUUUCAUUAAUCAAGAACGAAAGUUAGGGGAUCAAAGACGAUUAGAUACCGU
Molecule: ribosomal RNA, 415 nt
Filed under: uncultured eukaryote
Lineage: Eukaryota
Description: SSU rRNA
Rfam family: Eukaryotic small subunit ribosomal RNA
Source: RNAcentral